Molecule: ribosomal RNA, 497 nt
Filed under: uncultured bacterium
Lineage: Bacteria
Description: partial 16S ribosomal RNA
Rfam family: Bacterial small subunit ribosomal RNA
Source: RNAcentral
GAUGAACGCUGGCGGCGUGCCUAAUACAUGCAAGUCGAGCGAACAGACGAGGAGCUUGCUCCUCUGACGUUAGCGGCGGACGGGUGAGUAACACGUGGAUAACCUACCUAUAAGACUGGGAUAACUUCGGGAAACCGGAGCUAAUACCGGAUAAUAUAUUGAACCGCAUGGUUCAAUAGUGAAAGACGGUCUUGCUGUCACUUAUAGAUGGAUCCGCGCUGCAUUAGCUAGUUGGUAAGGUAACGGCUUACCAAGGCAACGAUGCGUAGCCGACCUGAGAGGGUGAUCGGCCACACUGGAACUGAGACACGGUCCAGACUCCUACGGGAGGCAGCAGUAGGGAAUCUUCCGCAAUGGGCGAAAGCUUGACGGAGCAACGCCGCGUGAGUGAUGAAGGUCUUCGGAUCUUAAAACUCUGUUAUUAGGGAAGAACAAAUGUGUAAGUAACUGUGCACGUCUUGACGGUACCUAAUCAGAAAGCCACGGCUAACUACGUG